Oreochromis aureus is the source of this 820-nucleotide long non-coding RNA. The record is from Ensembl. Lineage: Eukaryota; Metazoa; Chordata; Actinopteri; Cichliformes; Cichlidae.
CCCAAAAGUGUUAAAAGAUUUUAAAAGCACCUCCUCCCAAAACUAGGCGUUUUCCCCUGAAGUUUAGAGCACCGUUUCACAUCAAGGCGCCUGAUUUCAAACGGGCCAAUCAGCGCACUGCAUCAGGCUCCACCACAGACAACGUCUGUACAGCUCACCACAAGUUUUGCUUUGGAGUACGGCAGCACGCUAUCUUCAUUUUCGUGGACUUGUUUCUCAUUUUUUUAAUUUAACGUCUGCCACAGCUCGUCUUCAGUUACUACGGUUCCUUGCCACCGGGGACUCCUUCAGGACCAUCGUGUUCAGUUUUAGAGUCGGUGUGUCCACGGUGUGCCAGAUCCACCCCCCAGGUAGCGACGGCCAUCUGGGACUGUCUAGUGGACGACUUCAUGGCUGUGCCUUCACCUGGAGACUGGCGGUCCAUCACAGAGGGAUUCCAGGAGCGCUGGAACUUCCCUCUCUGCUGUGGAGCUCUGGAUGGGAAGCACGUCCAGACAAAGGCACCCCAUAUAUCAUAUAGGAGACACACACAUUGAUAUACACUAAAUAUUAUUCCAUUUCUGUUUUUGUGGUGCCCAAAUUUAUGCACCUGCUUGAUUUUGUUUAAACAAUUAUUGCACACUUUUUGUAAAUCCAGUAAACUUCUUUUCACUUCUCAAAUAUCACUGUGUGUGUCUCCUGUAUGAUAUAUUUAACUAACGUUUUUUAUUGUAACAACCAACAAUUUAUACAGGAAAAUAAUGGCUGUUAACAAGGUUGCCCAAACUUUUGCAUCCCACUGUAUUAGUAUAUUUUGUCAUUAGUAUAAUAUGAAAUAAAU